CCCCGAGAUACCUCUCCGUUCACACGGAGUGACAAAUCCCAGUCUUGAUUCAUACUAACUCAACUAACACCUUCGGAGAUACCUGUAGAGCAUCUUUAUAGUCACCCAGUUACGUUGCGAUGUUUGAUACACACAAAGCAUUCCUCCGGUGUCAGUGAGUUAUAUGAUCUCAUGGUCAUAGGAAUAAAUACUUGACAGCAGAAAACAGUAGCAACAAAAUGACACGAUCAA
RNAcentral lists this long non-coding RNA (231 nucleotides) under Hordeum vulgare. RNAcentral describes it as "long non-coding RNA (HVUL_LNC008225)". Lineage: Eukaryota; Viridiplantae; Streptophyta; Magnoliopsida; Poales; Poaceae. The record is from RNAcentral.